GGCGGGUCCUGGCAGGACGAAUUCACCGCCACUGCCAGAACGAACUAUUCAGAUUCACGUGGAGCAAGGGGCUCAUGCAGAAGCAGUUCCCGGACCCGACACUCUGGGUAGACCACUAAACCCGGCCCCUAAAAGCAGAGGUGACCUUGCCCUCAUCGAGAGCGCACACAAGACGCCACUGUAAAAGGAUCACAGAUGGAGAGACAUUUUGCCACACGAUGAAUCACACUCCACAUCUCAUCCCCGAGCUUCAGCUGCAGGAC
This is a long non-coding RNA of Gorilla gorilla gorilla (western lowland gorilla), 263 nucleotides long. RefSeq lists it as uncharacterized. The transcript is spliced from 3 exons. Lineage: Eukaryota; Metazoa; Chordata; Mammalia; Primates; Hominidae. The record is from RefSeq and is a predicted model, not a curated record.